ACGCUAGCGGCAGGCCUAAUACAUGCAAGUCGAACGAGAUUAUCCAGUUUGCUGGAUAUGAAAGUGGCGCACGGGUGCGUAACGCGUAUGCAACCUACCUUAAUCAGGGGGAUAGCCCGAAGAAAUUCGGAUUAACACCGCAUAAAAACACAGAAUAGCAUUAUUCAAUGUUCAAAUAUUUAUAGGAUUAAGAUGGGCAUGCGUGUCAUUAGCUAGUUGGCGGGGUAACGGCCCACCAAGGCGACGAUGACUAGGGGAUCUGAGAGGAUGACCCCCCACACUGGUACUGAGACACGGACCAGACUCCUACGGGAGGCAGCAGUAAGGAAUAUUGGUCAAUGGAGGCAACUCUGAACCAGCCAUGCCGCGUGCAGGAAGACGGCCCUAUGGGUUGUAAACUGCUUUUAUCUGGGAAUAAACCUUUUUACGUGUAAGAAGCUGAAUGUACCAGAAGAAUAAGGAUCGGCUAACUCCGUGCCAGCAGCCGCGGUAAUACGGAGGAUCCAAGCGUUAUCCGGAUUUAUUGGGUUUAAAGGGUGCGUAGGCGGCCUGUUAAGUCAGAGGUGAAAGACGGUAGCUCAACUAUCGCAGUGCCUUUGAUACUGACGGGCUUGAAUAAACUAGAGGUAGGCGGAAUGAGACAAGUAGCGGUGAAAUGCAUAGAUAUGUCUCAGAACACCGAUUGCGAAGGCAGCUUACUAUGGUUUUAUUGACGCUGAGGCACGAAAGCGUGGGGAUCAAAC
This 743-nucleotide ribosomal RNA is filed under the name uncultured bacterium. Its description in RNAcentral is "bacterial SSU rRNA". It matches the Rfam family "Bacterial small subunit ribosomal RNA", at positions 33 to 773 of the family's 1533-position model. The record is from RNAcentral.